CGGGACUGGCCAGUGUUGAGAGGCGGAGACUUGGGCAAUUGCUGGACGCUGCCCCGGGCAUUGCACUUGUCUCGGUCUGACAGUGCCGGCCCCACACUG
Molecule: microRNA precursor, 99 nt
Organism: Bison bison bison
Lineage: Eukaryota; Metazoa; Chordata; Mammalia; Artiodactyla; Bovidae
Gene: MIR25
Product: microRNA 25
Source: Ensembl